Molecule: long non-coding RNA, 2580 nt
Organism: Gasterosteus aculeatus aculeatus (three-spined stickleback)
Lineage: Eukaryota; Metazoa; Chordata; Actinopteri; Perciformes; Gasterosteidae
Source: Ensembl
UUAACAUUCAUAAUAUUUCUACCUAACAGUCAUUGUCACAAAAAAUAUUUCAGUUCAUCUAAUAUCACAGCGAGUUUUGAAAACCAUGACAACAAUAUGACUCUGGAAGUACUUUGUCUGCUUGUACAAUAGUAAAGGGGAACCCUGUAAGUGCUAUAACGUGUAACAGUCUGUUUAUAUGUUACUGUUGAAAAAAUAUAUCAAUAUUUUGGUACUGGUUCUGACCUGGUUCCGGCUUGUUCGGGCCCCAUAUGGGGUGUGCUAUGCUCCAACCCGUUUGGGGUCCCCAAAGGGUUUAAAUUAUGCGUCCUGCUUUUAGCUUUGUUUUUGGUCUCCACCAACACUUUCAAAACUAAAACAAUGAGCUGAAAGACACUAAAAUGCAAAGUCGGAUUGUGACGUUGCUAAUAUAGAAAUGCCGAAGAGUGCAGCUUUAAGGUUCUCUUAUUUCUCUCUACAAUUUCUUACAGGUAAAAGACACAAUACGUCUUGAGCUCUAGAUAUUUGCAAAUUGAUCAACACAUCUUGACCAGAGUGAGAGGGAAUUAUGUUUUAUGUGACACAGAGCCUCACCUGGGUCUUGAAUCUGAAUCAGAUGCAACCGGACUCCAGAAGCAAGACUCGCGUCGGGAUCCCCGUAGUCGGGAGAUACGGGUGCCUUUGCUGUCCCAUAGGUUUGGCUGUCUGGCCGCCACGACACCUUUAUGACAGCAGUCUGAUCCCCGAGUGUUGAUGGAUGAUUCCUCUGCUGCCCCCGAUGCCUCCAGGAUUCCUUUAGGCCAGGGCUGUUUGGACAGGAGACACGGGAGGCCGACUGACGGGCCGGUCACAACGGCUGAAAGAGCUGUUUGAGUGAUGGAGAGGUUUGCCCGUCGCAGCAGAGCGCUAGAGCUUCUGAGUGCGGGAUUGGUUUACUACCAGGUCAAAAUCUACCGUUCGACGGGGCGAGCUGCUGCUGUGUCUGAUUGAUGCGUUUUUCUUUAUAUUUCUUUACUGUUGUACAGUUUUCUUGACGUGGUAUGGACUCUGAGGCAGUGCUGCGACAUCAAUAAGACUGAAUCAGGGAUCAGGUUCACAUUCCUUUAAUGUAACUUUGUGCCGAGUAAUCCGAGUGGCUUCUAUAUAAACAUCACACGCUAUCGACUUUUGGGGAGGAUUUCAGAUGGAUGGACACUUUCUCUUGGCAGAAUACAACUAGAGACGUGCAUCCAGCAGAGAGCAGAUCUCAACCAGUUAUGUUCGCUACAACCACUGCUGUAGUGUUUGAUGGAUUAAAAGCAAUGUGGAAUUCCAUUGGUUCCACCUUGAGACGAAGCCAAUGAGACUUUUCCAUUGAAUUUGGGGUUAUUCAGGAAAUCACAAAAAAACAAGCGUUUUUGAUACCUACAUGUUUUGUUCAGCAAGAUAAUCUUCACACAACCCCCAUCACGGUCUUGCAAGUGCUAAGGCUGACCCGUGUUGCGUUUCUGAAUUCCCUGAAGUGGUAUUUAAAGUUGUUUUUUUGUGUUUUCGCACUUCAUUAACAAUUGCACCAAACCAACAAUAGUGGUCACUCUUGGUUUUGCAGAAUCACGAGACACGCACUGAUCAUCAAUCCCCAGUCGCGGCCCUUCUCACCGCGCUUGUUCAGACAACAAAAGCCAAUUCCAAAAUAGCGCCUUGUUCGAUCCUCCAUCCUUGCUUUUCCUUCACAGCCUCGACACCUUUUAGACAUCUGCAUGUAGCGGUAAGGAACUUUCAUUGGAAUUUGUUGGACGCCAUCUUUGAAUGCUGCAUCUAGUUUUCAAUGCAAGCAUCCUAAAUACUGACUGUGCAGAUGUUAGCUGGAGCCAGCGCGACCUUGUUCCUUCUUUAACUCCAGCAGUUUUAGUUGCUUUACCUUAACACAAGUAAAGGCAGAUCUGUUUACAAAUGUCCUAUUUUUGUUCAGGUAUGAGAACCUAUUAGCAGAAGCCUGAAAGUGUCCUAACGCUGACCCGGCGAUGAGCGUUUUUUAUCCCCUGGUGGACGUCUUUGAAGCAGACAGCGAGGCCUCGUCCUCCGCCUCACACUGCGCUGAACAAGGCGCUCAGUGUUCGCGUCGCUCAGCCAGACAGGGUGAUUGAGUGGUCCGCCGUGUGAUGAUUCGCGGAGUCCGACUACUGCUGGAUUUCCAGGCUGCGCAACAUGCGGGAUGCGGCGGGUCAGGAGCACCAACCGGAGGGAGCCGUGGACCAGACUCCCAUGGCCCGAGGUUCUGAGGCUGGACGCGACGUCCAAAGGAGCCUUUUGCAGGAAGUCUCAGAUAAUUUAACGUUCUGCAGCUCCUCAACUUUGGCCCGUCUUGACUGAAUGUGCAAUGGAAAUAGAAGAUUUAUAACUCCUGCAGGAGUCACUAAUCACCGGAGACGAGGGGCUUUGGAGGGGGGAGGGGGUGGAAGAGCAGAGGCAGGCUUCAUGAGUGUCCAUGAGGGUCUGAGUGCUUCUGACUCGUCCCCCCCCCUUGCAGGUACACACACGCAAGCUAGCACACAUGCAAAAACACACAAACACGUGCUCCUUGUGCGUCUCCCUCAACACAACGGCCGUCUUGGGAGGAUG